GUCUCCCUGAAAUAACCUGCCCAUGAUGAACUUCACCAAAAUAGCUACUGCAUAUGUUAAUCUGUUUGUAAUUUUAUUCUUUCAGAACACUCAAAACUAGCAUCUGAUGAAUGCCUACAUUCAGUCCACAAAGCAACAAUUGUCUGAACUAAGCCCUGCAAAGGAUGAAUAGAGACAGAACAACAGAACUUAAUAACUGAUGAUGGAGUUGGAGGAGAGGAAAGGAUCAAGCUGAUGUCCAGGUUUCAGGGGAACUGAUGGUGCCAUUCACUGAUACAGGGAACAUAAGCAGAGGUUCAGACGUAAAAGUGACACAUCAACAGCUGAACUAACUUGAAAACGCAAGUCAGGAGUCACACUCUAAAUACAAAGGUCUUUCAACUAAACCUACUAAAUAAGCUGCCUUACUGGUCCAAAAACCACUCCACAAAGCCAUAUAUAUAUAUUUGAAGACAGAUAUUAAGUCCUUAUUUCUAGCUAAAUUAAGUCACUAUCUUUUGAUUUUCCUUAAGGGUCCUAUUUUUCCCUCCACUUUAAUGAGACCAAUCACUCUUCUAAAAACUAAGCCAGUUCCUUCAAAUUUAACAUGUAAUGAUUAAAAAGAAAUGGCUGGGUUCCGUUCCAAGAUAGCUGAAUAGGAACAGCUCUGGUCUGCAGCUCCCAGAGUGAUCGACGCAGAAGACGGGUGAUUUCUGCAUUUCCAACUGAGGUACCUGAUUCAUCUCACUGGGACUGGUUGGACAGUGGGUGCAGCCCACGGAGGGCGAGGUGAAGCAUGACAGGGCGUCGCCUCACCCAGGAAGCGCAAUGGGUCGGGGGAUUUUCCUUUCCUAGCCAAGGGAAGCUGUGACAGACUGUACAUGGAAAAUCAGUAAACCCUGCCCAAACACUGUGCUUUUCCCCCAGUCUUAGCAAAUGGCAGACAAGGAGAUUGCUCUCCCAUGCCUGGCUCAGCGGGUCCCAUGCCCAUGCAGCCUUGCUCACUGCUAGCGCAGCAGCUGGAGAUCGACCUGCAAGGCUGCAGCCUGGCGGGGGGAGGGGCGUCUGCCAUUGCUGGGGCUUGAGUAGGUAAACAAAGCAGCCAGAAAGCUCGAAAUGGGUGGAUCCCACCGCACCUCAGCAAGGCCUACUAUCUCUAUACACUCCACCUCUGGGGGCAGGGCAUAGGCUGAACAAAAGGCAGCAGACAACUUCUGCAGAUGUAGACGUCCCUGUCUGACAGCUCUGAAGAGAGCAGUGGUUCUCCCAGCAUGGUGUUUGAGUUCUGAGAAUGGAUAGACUGCCUCCUCAAGUGGGUCCCUGAACCCCGUGUAGCCUAUUGGGGGAACCAGCCCCCAGUAUUUCAAUGUAGUUUCUUUUCUAUUUUCUCUAAGUGUUGGCCAGUCUAAGAAAUAAAGAGAAAGAGUAC
This is a long non-coding RNA of Pan troglodytes (chimpanzee), 1408 nucleotides long. RefSeq lists it as uncharacterized. NCBI's taxonomy places the organism in Eukaryota, Metazoa, Chordata, Mammalia, Primates, Hominidae. The record is from RefSeq and is a predicted model, not a curated record. The transcript is spliced from 4 exons.